UUGGAGGGCAAGUCUGGUGCCAGCAGCCGCGGUAAUUCCAGCUCCAAUAGCGUAUAUUAAAGUUGUUGCAGUUAAAAAGCUCGUAGUUGAAUUUCGGGAUCAAUUUAUUGGUCGUGCCAACGGUACGCACUGGUACAAUUGGUUUCUCCCUUCUGACGAAGCAUGAUGUCAUUAAUUUGAUGUCGUGGGGAAUCAGGACUGUUACUUUGAAAAAAUUAGAGUGUUUAAAGCAGGCUUUGGCUUGAAUACAUUAGCAUGGAAUAAUGAAAUAGGACGUUUGAUCUUAUUUCGUUGGUUUCUAAGAUCGACGUAAUGAUUAAUAGGGAUAGUUGGGGGCAUUAGUAUUCAAUUGUCAGAGGUGAAAUUCUUGGAUUUAUUGAAGACUAACUACUGCGAAAGCAUUUGCCAAGGAUGUUUUCAUUAACCAAGAACGAAAGUUAGGGGAUCGAAGACGAUCAGACACCGUCGUAGUCUUAACCAUAAACUAUGCCGACUAGGGAUCGGACGAUGUUAAUUUUUCUUGACUCGUUCGGCGCCUUACGGGAAAC
This 548-nucleotide ribosomal RNA is filed under the name uncultured Glomeromycotina. Its description in RNAcentral is "SSU rRNA". It matches the Rfam family "Eukaryotic small subunit ribosomal RNA", at positions 548 to 1098 of the family's 1831-position model. The record is from RNAcentral. Lineage: Eukaryota; Fungi; Glomeromycota.